GAUGAAGAACGCAGCGAAAUGCGAUAAGUAGUGUGAAUUGCAGAAUUCAGUGAAUCAUCGAAUCUUUGAACGCACAUUGCGCCCUUUGGUAUUCCUUAGGGCAUGCCUGUUCGAGCGUCAUUUAAACCUUCAAGCUAAGCUUGGUGUUGGGUGACUGUCCGCUUCACGGCGGACUCGCCUCAAAAUUAUUGGCGGCCGGUACAUUGGCUUCGAGCGCAGCAGAAACGCGAACUCGGGCCCGUCGUAUUGGCUCCCAGAAGCUAUCUUCACAAUUUUGACCUCGGAUCAGGUAGGGAUACCCGCUGAACUUAAGCAUCUCAAUAAGCGGAGGA
RNAcentral lists this unclassified non-coding RNA (332 nucleotides) under soil metagenome. RNAcentral describes it as "partial contains 5.8S ribosomal RNA, internal transcribed spacer 2, and large subunit ribosomal RNA". The stretch from base 1 to 120 matches the Rfam family "5.8S ribosomal RNA", at positions 35 to 154 of the family's 154-position model. The record is from RNAcentral.